UUAUAUAUAAAGAAUACUUUCAAUCUCUCCUGGUGGUGACAGCUCAGAUUCCACGUCAGAAAUAGGAAGUCUACAGCGUUGACACGUCGGAUCCGCACCGUUUCACUAAAGCGUUGCUCUGUCCGAACGGGCUUCACGUGGGCUUCGUCACGCUCUAAUCAAAUGUUUUCUGUCGCGAGGCCCGUCCGCAUACGUCUUCUACGGGGAACCCUAAACAGAUGCUCCCUUCCUGUUCUUCGUUCGUCGCCUAUCGCCGCAGCGGCUGUCUAGAACCUGUAACGGUUUUGCUUUCAAUCACCUUAAAUCGUCUUUAAUUCACCAAUAAUGGAGUUUCAAGAGGAUGUAGUCUCGAAGAAUCUAUGUAAGAAGCUUCGUUUGCGUCUUUACGCCUUCCUUUCUAAUCCUUUGAAACGUUAAUGGUUAUUUAUUCAUGGUUGUCUAAUCUCUGCAAGUUGGUCUCUCAGCACCUAUAAAAGCUGCAACACAAGAAGUUGCGAUGAACGGAGUCCUCAUCGGUUUGAAUCAGCCCUAGGGACGACAGAGUCGCGGAGAUCUUCGAUUCCGUACCUCUCAUUCCUCCUCUCGAGAUCUCUCGCUCAUCAUGUUAGAGGAGCAUUACGUGGCUAUGUGAGGAGAUGGAGUUGAGAUGAGGAUGCUAGCUCUUACAGCUUUGGAUGUUCUACGGUUCGUCAGAUUUUUACAAUUGAUAUAGGUUUUUGUGUGUUUGAGUGAACUUUUGACGCUGAGGAUAUGCAAGAGUUCAAUGUCUAGCAUGCAGGACAGCAGAUGACUUAUUGCAAUAAGCUGGCUAGACUUGAUGGAGUUCCAUACCGUGAUUUCACUGGAUAGGUCUUUGGUUUUUUUUUUUGGAAAAGAAAAAAAAUGUAGUUUGCAUUUUAGGGGUUAACAUGUUAAACUCAAGCAUCUUUCUUAGUUGUUGUUUGCCUUGCGCUGUUGGCAGGAGAGGAUUUGACUAUUCUCUAUGGGUUCGAAUGUAAGGAUAAUGUUUUAGACCAACACACAAAACCCACCGGGUCAUAUAAACGAACAGUGUCACUUACCAAAUAACCAAAAAUUUAGCAAAACACCCUUACAAAGCUGCAGCGCAACAUAGCGUCCCAAUAAAAGCCACCCUCAAGAACUGCAUACUAACCUCCCUGCAACCCAUGUUAGUCAGGAUAGUUGUUUGCUUGAACUCUGACCUCACAGCACCUUCUGUUUUCUUUUUAUCAGCACCUACAACAACUAAAACAAUGGAAUCAAAAGCAGAGCUUGAAGGUCAUUUGUUUGAA
Brassica napus (rape) is the source of this 1292-nucleotide long non-coding RNA. RefSeq lists it as uncharacterized. The record is from RefSeq and is a predicted model, not a curated record. The transcript is spliced from 3 exons. Lineage: Eukaryota; Viridiplantae; Streptophyta; Magnoliopsida; Brassicales; Brassicaceae.